AUCGCUUCUCGGCCUUUUGGCUAAGAUCAAGGGGAGUAUCUGUUCUUAUCAGUUUAAAAAUGAGAUCACUGGCUCAGUGGAUAGUGUGUUGGCCCACAGACU
Non-coding RNA from Myotis brandtii (Brandt's bat), 102 nucleotides. Lineage: Eukaryota; Metazoa; Chordata; Mammalia; Chiroptera; Vespertilionidae. The record is from Rfam.